GCCAGUGGGGUGCAGUGGUUUGAGUGUUGGACUACGACUCUGUAGAUCAGGGUUCGAUUCCCUGUUCAGUCA
This is a non-coding RNA of Phrynosoma platyrhinos (Desert horned lizard), 72 nucleotides long. The record is from the annotation of a GenBank genome assembly. NCBI's taxonomy places the organism in Eukaryota, Metazoa, Chordata, Lepidosauria, Squamata, Phrynosomatidae.